GGUUUUAUAGUUUAAUUAAAACUAUUAAAUUGCAAAUUUAAUAAUAUGGUGAUCUGUUAAAACCU
This 65-nucleotide transfer RNA is filed under the name Colpocephalum griffoneae. Its description in RNAcentral is "tRNA-Cys". It matches the Rfam family "tRNA". Rfam says of the family: Transfer RNA (tRNA) molecules are approximately 80 nucleotides in length. The record is from RNAcentral. Lineage: Eukaryota; Metazoa; Arthropoda; Insecta; Psocodea; Menoponidae.